UCAUUGCACCCCUCAAGCACUGCUUGGUAUUGGGCUUCGCCCCCCGCGGCGGGCCUGGAAUUCAGUGGCGGUCCAGGGGGACCUCAAGCGUAGCAAGAUUCGUUCCCCGCUUUGGAGGCUUCCCGCUGCGUGCCGGCCAGACAACCCCCGAUCCUUCAAUGAUUGACCUCGGAUCAGGUAGGGAUACCCGCUGAACUUAA
This 200-nucleotide unclassified non-coding RNA is filed under the name soil metagenome. RNAcentral describes it as "partial contains internal transcribed spacer 2 and large subunit ribosomal RNA". The record is from RNAcentral.